AAUGAAGCAGCUUCUUCUUCUGUGUGCGUGUGACAAAAAACUGCCAACUAUAUAACGGCUUAAACGACUUUCCCGAAGAAGAAAGCGCCCAAAUCCAAAGGCUUUAUCUUGCAGUUUCCUCCUCUCUCUUUCCAUUGAAGAGCUCGUUCUUAGUAAGAUUCAGCUCAAAUUUCCCUUUCCUUGAUCAGUAAAUCUCAAAAGUUUGUGCCUUUGAGUUCGUACUUAGCAGCUUUUUGACAACUUCGUCUUCUUUCUUGCUUUUCAACGACAACCCAUAUCAGUUUUUUCCUGUUUUUUGUGUUGAACAAUCUGACCCAGAAUUUGAUUUGGAAGCAAAGUAGUAAAAUUGGUAAGAGAACCAAAACCCAUCUGGAUUUUGUUCAUCUUUCUGCAAUUAUUGCCAUGAACUAUCUGUACCCAGUGAAGGAAGAGUUCCCGGGUUCAAGUGCAUCACAAUCGGGUCCUGGUGACCCGGUGGUGAUGAUACCGCCACAGCCAAUGGAGGGUCUGAAUGACACAGGCCCUCCUCCAUUUCUGACCAAGACCUUUGACAUGGUGGAUGACCCGAGUACCAAUCGGAUAGUUUCUUGGAGCAGAGGAGGUGGAAGCUUUGUUGUUUGGGAUCCUCAUACCUUUGUUAUGAAUCUCCUUCCUAGAUACUUCAAGCACAAUAAUUUCUCAAGCUUUGUCAGGCAGCUCAACACUUACGGCUUUAGAAAGGUUGAUCCUGACAGAUGGGAGUUUGCCAAUGAGGGGUUUGUAAGGGGUCAGAAGCAUCUCCUUAAGAACAUUAAAAGAAGGAAGACACCUUCUCAGCCUCUUCCUGCACAACAAGCUCUAGGCCCUUGUGUGGAAGUAGGCCGGUUUGGGCUAGAUGGAGAAAUUGAUCGUUUGCGGCGCGACAAGCAGGUCCUAAUGAUGGAGUUGGUGAAGCUUAGACAGCAGCAGCAGAAUACUAGAGCCUACCUUCAAGCAAUGGAACAAAGGCUGCAAGGGACUGAAAGGAAGCAGCAACAAAUGAUGGCUUUCUUGGCAAGGGCAAUGCAAAACCCAGCUUUUAUGCAGCAGCUAGUCCAACAGAAGGAUAAAAGGAAGGAGCUUGAGGAAGCCAUGACUAAGAAAAGGAGGAGGCCAAUUGAUCAAGGACCUAGUGGUGUUGGUGGUGGCAAAUCGAGCCUAAAGGGCAAGGGAACAAACCUCAUUAAAUGUGAGCCUCUUGAAUUUGGAGAUUGUGAUUAUGAAAUGUCAGAGCUAGAAGCACUUGCAUUGGAAAUGCAAGGAUUUGGAAAGGCAAGAAAGGAACAGGAUGAAGAGCUAGAGCCACUAGAGAGUGGGAAAGAGUUCGAUGAGGGAUUUUGGGAAGAACUAUUUAGUGAGAGAUUGGAGGAAGACUUCAGCAUUCCAAGUGCAAUAGUAGGGGAAGAUGAAGAUGUGAUUAUCUUGGCUGAUCGCUUAGGUUACUUAGGUUCAUGCCCAAAGUAGAGCUAGCUAGCUGCACUUCUUCAGCAUUUCUAUCUCUGUCCUCUUCAGUUCACUGCCUCAUUGACCAUUUCUUUUUGGGUAGGAGGCUAAGGCCUCCAACAGUUGUUUCCAUAGUCUCUCAUUUUGCAUCUCUACAGUCUCGUCAAGUGCCAUUAGGCCAUAACUUUCAUUCUGGAUUUCUUGGUAUUGACAGGAUAGGGGGAUUAGCAGGCUGAUAUCCGUUGAAACCAUCUUUGUUUCUGGUGUUUCUAACCCUGCACUUGUUUAUUAAUUGCCUCCUUUUCUCAUCUAAUAAUGCCCUCUCUUUGUUUCUUUAUCUUGGUUAGGUUGCAGGCAUUGCUUGGACAGAAACUGUGCUAGUUUUUAUGAUGAUUUAUCUCAAGAUUUGUUGAGAAGCUGUUGAACUUGAAAAGGAGUAGCUGCAAGCUCCAAGAACCAUAAACAAAAUAUUGUUUUUGGAUCCAAGUGCCUAUUGGCUGAUAACUUUGUCAGUAUGAUACUUUCUGUUACUUGAGUACUGUCCCUAUGUUGUUUGAGUAAAGAUAUAAACAGAGGUAGUUUGGGUAAUAUGAACUUCAUAAUGUUACAUUUGUACCAUGUAGAUUUGUUCAUGUCGGGCAAAUACGGUUCUCAUCGGUCACUACAUCAGCCGUGGACUCUCAAACUGGUACAGUAUCACUCUUUAAAACAUCACCAUAAAAAAUGUGUUCCUUACCCAAUUGAUGUCUUACUUACAGUACAGAUGAAGAAAGACAGGAUCCAAGUAUCAAAGUAGAUUGACUGGGUUGAACUUGAAGAGCAUAAUAUGAUUCUAACUCUACAAGUAGGGUUAGAAUGUGUUUAAUUUGUGUGAGUAAUCAUUGAAACUUUGGUCUGCAAGAUUCUGUAAUUAAGCUGAGAUUUUUAGUGAGGCGGAUUAUAGAAAGUUAUGUGCCUAGCGGAUGAUAGAAAGUUAAUACCUUACUGGGAAGGCUUCAACAGAAGUUGGACUGUUCCACCCUUAAGAAGCUUAGGCUAACCAAUUCAAGAAAUCACAACCCUUUAAUUUUUGCUUAGUCUAGUGUUGUGCACUUAUUAGUCUGCCAUGUGUUGUAACAUUCCCCAUGGCAGUGUGUGAUUGGCUUGGGAUAUUGUCUGGUGACAUCCUUAUUUUAUAAAAGUUUUUGUUGUAUAUGGAUAUCGGUCGGUCCAAUUUUGAAAUCAUAAUCUUCCCAGCCUCCUCGACCAAACCCAGUUUCCCAUUUCAUCGAUCUCCCAAAACCCACAUCAGUCGCUGCACCAGAAGGAACCAUCAAACCCCACUAUAAAACAACCCCCAUGACCUCUGUUUCUUCUCUUCUCCGAAAUAUUUCUUCCUGAUUGAUAAAUGGGCCUCCAACCUGUAAUAUUCACAAAAAUGUCCAUCACUUGAUCCCAUGUUUGAUCAAAUUGGGUCUGUAGUUGUGCCCACUAACUUCCCGUGACUCGUUGCAGCCGCCGAUGAUGUUUUUUUCAGCCCAUAGUUUGAGAGGCCAGGAAAUACUUAGCCUUCAUGAGAUCAAGAAUUUUAUAGUGAGGGCUUAUAUAUAGUCCUUAAGUGAGGCCCUCUCUCUUAAUAUUUGAAUUAAAUUGGUUAGUCAUUAGAUCAAAUUGGUUCGUCUAAUGCAACGAUUAAGAGAUAUGACCUUACCUAAGAGCCAUAUAUAAAGUCCUCACUAACGAAUGACUCGGGAUUUGAAGGCUUGGGAGCCCUUCCUUAAAAAUCAAAUAUAUAAGAGCAUUAACCUCUGCAUUUGAGGUCCUAGGUUCGAUUCUCCUCUCUCUAGUAUAGCUUGUAUUAAUAUAAAAAAAUCAAAUAUAUAUAUAAAAAAAUCUUUGUACUUUUCAUGGGGUUAGAAGCCAGCACUUUUCAGCUUUCAUGCUGUGUCGGUGGAAUUUUAGGCAGAGCAUAUAUUUUAUUAGAGGCAGAGCAUGCAGGGCAAGGCAUUAGCAAUAGGAACAUGUCAGAAAGUCAAAAUAUGAGAUAGUUACAAGUCUGGACAAGAUUAUUGAGUGUGUAACGGAUGCAAUGCAAGAGGGUUUCUUCUCAACAAAAAAUGAGUGCACUGGGUACAUUAAUAUAUUAAUUAAGAUAUUUUAAGCCAUGUCAUAAAUGACAAUGAGUAGUUUAGGCGCCUAAACAAGUUUUUCUACUAAUUAGGCUUGGAGAGGUGAGCAGAGAAAGUGAAGUGUCAUGGAAGGUCCUCCUCUGUAUAUUUUUGCCUUUUCAUUUGCCUCCAAAGCCAAAACUUGCAUGUGAGAAUCUGGCAAUAGAAAGAACCCGUGAAUAAGGCAUGGCCCGCAUUUGUAUUUUCUUUCCAGUUCAUGAAAAAAAUAUGAAAUGUGCCUCUCUCUCUCUCUCUCUCUCUCUCUCUCUCUCUCUCUCUCUCAGCAUGCGGAACAGAGCAUGAGAAGAGAAGAGAGUUAUAAUAAGGUAGCUUCAAAUUAGAAUCAGCAAAGAACAAACAAACAAUAUGAGAUGGCUGUCAUUAACUUCAUGUGUGCUUCAAUUACUUGAAAGGGUAAAACUUUCACAUCUCCAUGCUACUUGGGUUUCUCAGCUUGGCCAAAUCUUGUGGUCCUACUUUGUUUAUUAUUAAACAAUAGUUAGUUGUUUUACACCAUCUUUGUAUAUGAUUGUGUUUAAUUAGCAAAAUCCCAUUUUUAAUUGAGGGGUUGCUCAUAGUUUCUUGAUCAAAUGAAACCAUUAUAGUCAUGAUGAUGUAAAUACUUUCCUAUCAAUGGAACAAUCAUUUGCU
Prunus persica (peach) is the source of this 4259-nucleotide RNA transcript. It is a transcript of the gene named heat stress transcription factor A-7a, with no coding region annotated. NCBI's taxonomy places the organism in Eukaryota, Viridiplantae, Streptophyta, Magnoliopsida, Rosales, Rosaceae. The record is from RefSeq and is a predicted model, not a curated record. The transcript is spliced from 3 exons.